Molecule: long non-coding RNA, 10903 nt
Organism: Ictalurus punctatus (channel catfish)
Lineage: Eukaryota; Metazoa; Chordata; Actinopteri; Siluriformes; Ictaluridae
Source: Ensembl
GUUUUACAGCCGUUAUUUCCUAGUCCACAGAAAAGACGGGAUAUAUGGAUAUAGAAUUUUAGAUCUGUGCCAUCUGAUCCAUAAUCUUUGGACAUACAGGUCCAGGAUGUUGACGCUCAACCUUAUCGUUCCACAGACUCAGUUUGAGGAUUGGUUUGUGAGGAUAGAUCUAAAAAAAGGUGCAUAUUCCAUUGCCCAGUCACAGGAAAUUCCUGAGGUUCUCGUUUGGAGGCAACGCAUAUCAAUAUUGGUUCUUCCAUUCGCUAGCUUUAUCCCCUCGCACCUUCAGGAAAUGUAUGGAUUUCGCGUUGGUUCCUUUGCGACUCCAGAUUAUCCGUGUGCUAAACUACCUGGACGACUGGUUAAUUCUAGUGCGGUCCAAAAAGUUCAACAUCAAGAUGUUGUUCUCAUCCACAUGAAGAGCUUGGGGCUCAGGUUGAACCUCAGGAACAGUUGGUUCUCCAGACAAGAGCUGGGAUUCGAAUACAAUGAGGGCAUGUCUAUCCCCAACACACGCAGGGCAAAUCCUAUCAACAUUGAGCAAGAUAGACUUGGCAUCCCCUCCAGUCUCUACGGAGACUGUUGGAGCUUAUGUCAGCAGCAGCCAAUGUCAUACCAUUGGGCCCAACGCACAUGAAACCGUUCAUUUGUGGCUGAAGGUCGGGGGUUUCAUCAGAGGACGAAACCCCUGGGAGUAAUCAGUGUCAGGCGGCGAUUUUUACAUGUUCUGAGAACUAGGAAGUGUCCCUCAGGUCACACUCUAGCGGCAUCUCUUAUCACAAGACGGUAAUGUCAGACACCUCCCUCAUGGUCUGUGGUGCAGCCCUCAUCUAGUGUGGCAUAUAAAUCGCCUCGAAGUGUGGGCUGUACUCCUAGCACUGAAUUUCUUCUCGUCAGUUGAGAGGUCACCAUGUGUUAGACAACACAGCGGUGGUCUCAUAUAUCAACCACCAGGGAGCAUUACGUUCACGCCCCCUUUUCAGGCAGACUCAACUAAUUCUUCUCUGGUAGAGGGGAAGUUUGGUCAGUGAGUGCAAUGUAUAUUCCGGGCUACUGGAAUGUUGGGGCAGACAUCCUGUUGAUGCAGAGGCUGAGGCCUGGGGACUGGAGGCUCCAUCCACAAGCUCUAGUGAGAGUUCGCCAAGACCGUGCUAUGUCUGCUGCUGAUAGCACUGGAUUGGCUAGCUCAAAUUUGGUUAUUGGAGAUAAUAUCUCUGCUGGACGGCCCUCUCUAGGAGUUUCCAGUUCACCAUGACAGCCAUACCCUCAGUAUGAAAGGGAAUGUCUGGGGUAAAUGUAACCCUGUUCCCUGAGAAGGGAAUAAGCCAUUGCAUAGCUUUUUCAUACUGGGGCAUGCCUGUGAAUCGCGUCUUUGCUUCAGAUAAUAGAGGCUGAUGACGUGGUUCACAGGCACCAUUUUAUAGUUAUGAUUUUACACAGACUUCAGAUACCGGUCAUGCGUGAGGGCACUUCCCACAGCGUGAAGCUCAUGCAAUGUCUCGUUCCCAUCUCAGAGAACAGGGUUGCAUGCGUAACCCAGACGUUUUGCCUCGUAACUCUAGUUUUUGGUUCUUGUUUUCAGUGUUUUUGUUGUUUGUUUGCACCGUUCACUAAUAAAUCUGCACUUGCAUCGACUGCUGCCAACUCCCAGUUCCUGACUGUACUGGACAUGGAGCAAAUAUAUUAAAGAAAUACUGCAGGGUUUUUAAUGAUAAUCUCUACAUAGUAGAUGUGAUAACUAUGCAAAAAUAAUUUUAAGCCAGCUCCCUGUACUGAGAACAGAACUAAGAGGCAUCUGACGUACUUCUCACCGAAAAAAUAAAAUCACAUUUAUACACAUUUGGAGCUGAAUUUAUGAAUAGCUUUGACCGAUGAAUUCAUGAAAGUAUUUCACGUAAAGGGUUAUUCACUACCAGAACAACUGCCCUUAGACUUCCAUUAUAAGUGAGUUUCAGGUAAACAGGUUUUCUUUUCAUUCGUCAGUACAGAGAAAUAUGUUGAAAUUUGUAUUAAUCCAUAUAUUUUGAGUUGAAUACACAUGCAGUGAAUAAAGACAUUUUUUUAGUUACAUUUAUAUAGUGCUUUUCUAGACUCUCAAAGUGCUUUACACAGUAUGGGGGAGGGGUGUCACCUCAACCACCACUAGUGUGUAGCAUCAACCUGGAUGGUGUGACGGCAGCCACACACCAGCUAUUUAAGUUGAAAAUACUGAAGUGUUCCUUUAAGUCCUUAACAGUGUACAAAAGCAGUACAAGAACCUGUUAUUGCACUAUAAAUCUGUAAAUGGCUAGGCACAAGUUCAUGAACAAGAAGAGAGAAACAGAAUACACUCAUACUAACUGAACAAGUGUGAGCCCUGUGUUUUCACCAUGUUCACGUUGUCCUCGCUUCACCCAACCAGCUUUACCUUGAAUGCCACUUUUCCAUCACAGUAAUGAGCUUUUAUGUGGUGAAAAGUGCUUUUGCAGAGGCCAAAUCAAAUUUGCUCUAUUCAGGAGAGGAAGAGAAGGAGCCAUAAUAGAAGCUAGCAGGCGCUGGUGUGUCAUCCUGCAGGAUGGAUGGUCGAGGAACAGCCUUGGCGUAGCUCCUACCUGUCUGAGCCCUGCUGGCACCCCUCCAACUGCUUAACCGUCCAUCAGCCUGUGGUUCCAGUGACUGGCUGGCCUUAGCUGUCGCUCCUGGGGACAUACACACAGACACACAUAUAGAUGAAAAUUAGAAAGAGAAAACACAUGAGCUGAGUAAGUACAGCUACUGAACUCCAAGCGCAUCAAGCGCCACUCUGUCUGGCAAGAGAUGCAAAGCUUGAAGGGCAUGCAAACCACACAUCCACACCAGUAAUUCCAGCCUGAGAGAACACAGCUCAGUAAGCGGGAGCAAAUUAUACUUUUAAGCAACUUUCUUUGUUCCUUGUUUUGUCACAUCCUGGAAGGAACUUGAUUCGUCUCCUCCACAACAUGGCAGGAGAGGUUGCUGUCGCACCUGUUUUCUGGCAGCGAGAAGGCUUGGGCUUAGGGUUAUUUUAUAAUGAGUAGAGGCAACGCUCACAGGGACUGUCAGAUGUACUGCAGCCCACCAGCGAGAUCAGCCGGGAAGAGAUAGAGAGAGAGAGAGAGUGAGAGAGAGGAAAGCAGGUAGGAGAGUGAUAAGAGACAGAGAGGAAGAGAGGAAAGCAGCAGAUGAGGAGAGACAGGAGGGAGGAUGACAGUGCCAGGAGCCAGCUGCUAUAUGAUCUGUACUCUUUUACAGCAUUGCAUGAUGGGAGAUGAGCUGACAUGGGCUAUGAGGUCACUCUGAGAUGGCUGGAUUAGAUUGAUUUAAUAGUAGUGUCUCUCCAAUACCUUCCUGCAUACCAAAAAAGCAGGCAUAACAACCUGAGUGGGUUGUUAUAUAUUUGCACAAUGCUAAAUACAGACGCAUUAAAAAAAAUAAAAUAAAAAUAAACAAAGUAGCACCAUUUGGAUGGUGGGCUGUGCAAUCACCUUGUAAAAUGUAUUUUAUGGCCCAUUGUUUAUGGGCAAUUAUGAAGGCAGGUGUAGGAAUGAGACGCACACACACUCGGUUUGAAGUAUGCGGUGGUUUGGAGUGUUCAGAACAAAGACGCUUAAUAUCCAUCUGCGUGUAUUAAUAAGUGUGUAAAGACAUAGUGUCCCACAUUCUGUAUCCUACGCCCGUGCCUCAUCAUCCUGCAGUCGUCUUCAUCUUCCUCAUGCCUAAUGUACAGGCCCUGAUGCACUCCCGACCAACAUCUGGGUCAUCUCUCAUGUAUUUCACACACAUACACACCUCAUAUAUAUUCUCACCAUAAAUAGCUUCUCAUAUCUUAUAGUAAGAGGUACAGUAGGCUGCAUGCAAGCACUUUUUAUAACCUGAACAUUUUCUUUGCACUUUCCUUUUUUUCCCAAAGUGCCUCUGGGCUCCAUUUGCCCAAGAGGACUUUAAAUGCGAUCAAAGGAGAGAUUAGAAGAGCACCACAGAAGGUAUUUAAAAACAAAGGCCGUUAUUGUUGCGCCGUGGUGUCCUAGCAUGAGAGUCCGUGCUGUUAGAGUGCUCGAAUUCAGCUCAGACCUUAAACACACUCAGAGACUUACCAGGGCACGGGGGAAAUGAUUAAAAACCUUCAGCAUUUUCAGCCGCUUCCAAAAAUAAGUUAGCUUUGAUGUGUGUUUGUGUUGAAGGCAAGACCAGUGUUGUUGUAUUUUUUUCCUGCCCCAAGUGGUACAAGAGAACACAGGUAAAUGACACAGUUGUCCUAUGCUCUUUUGCCCAGGGCCUUGUAUAUUCUUUCUUUUUUCUGGAAAAAAAUGACCCUUUACAAAGGAAGAAAUACAGAAAGAGAGGAAGAAUGAGAGAGAGAAAGUGAGUAGGAGACUAAAGCAGGGAAGGAGAGACUGAGAAUGUGUGGGUAUGUGUGUAGCCCAGUUAGAGCCCAUUUCUGUGAGGGCCCCUGGCUAGAGUGUUCAAACAGCCAUGAUAUUAAAAUAAAAAGUGUGCAGGAGCGGUGGGGUUUGGAGCGAUCCAUAGUGAGGUAUUGAUCAAGGUUAGGACUCAUCCUGAUCGUGCCGCUGGCUGGAGGGCUUCUCACUCUCACUCACACACACACACACACACAAACACACGCUCUUACAAAUAGGUGUGUACUCUAAAAACGGGAUUCCACAUCUGAGCUAACAAGGAAAUCUCGGGGGCUCUGUGAAGCUCUGAGGAGAGCAAAAAAAAACCAAAAACAUUUCUAGCUUUUUUUUUUUUAACUUCUCUCAAGAUAGCAACACUGAUCAGCUCAGCAUGUGCUCAAAACAUACCUGAACCAGCAAUCUCAUCCAAAACACUUCAGGCCUAUAGGAGAACUUUUAUAUUGUGUGCUCAAUUUGCUUGUUUAUGCUGGUGAACAGACAUGCUGACUGUGACAGACAUAAAUCUCCACCUCAUACUACAGGAAGCUCGGGUAUGAGAAGUGAAAUCUUAAUAAGGAAACAUGGAGGAUUUAUAAGUUCUUUCAUAGACAAUAUGGGACUACUCGGGUUUUCAUGUGCUACAUUUUAAAACAUGUCUGCAGGUUUACUUAGUGUGGGCUAAAGCAGGACUGAACACAUGCUGAUGUAUAAGGAAACCAUUACUGUACCUCCAGCAAGUGCUCCCCAAUGAAAGGAAGGAGAGAAGUACUUUUUUUGGUUGUUUAUUUGGUUGGGUUUUUUAAAAAUUAUUUUUAAGCCGACCUGAAAAAAUGGCUAUGAAAAUGAUUUAUGUUUCAGCUUUCUUUCUAAAUAAGUGUAUAUGCAUAUUCACUGAUCAGCCAUAACAUUAAAACCGCUUGCCUAGUAUUGUGUAGGUCCAACUUUUGCCAUCAAAACAGCUCUGACUCAUCGAGACAUGGACUCAACAAGACCUUUGAAGGUGUGCUGUUGUAUGUGGCACCAAGACUUUAGCAGCAAAUCCUUUAAAUCCUGUAAGUUGUGAGGUGGAACCUCCAUGGAUCAGACUUGUUUGACCAGCAUAUCUCACAUAUGCUCGAUUUGAUUGAGAUAUGGGGAAUUUGGAGGACAAGCCACCUUCUUCCAUUGAUGCAUGGUCCAGUUCUGAUGCUCACAUGCCCAUUGUAGGUACUUUUGGUGGUGCACAGGGGUCAGCAUGGGCACACUGACUGGUCCGCAGCUACGCAGACCCAUACAUGCUGCGGUGCACCGUGUGUUCUGACAUCUUUCAGAAUUAACGUUUUCAUCAAUUUGUGAUACAGAAGCACUUCUGUGGGAUCAGGCUAGACAGGCUAGCAUUCUCUCCCCACAUGCAUCACUAAGCCUUAGGCGCCCAUGACACUAUUGGCGAUUCACCGGUUGUUCUUCCUUGUAGCACUUUUUGUAGGUACUAACCACUGCAUAAUGGGCACACCACACAAGACCUGCUGAUUUGGAGAUGCGCUGACCCAGAUGUAUAGCCAUCACAAUUUAGCCUUUGUCAAAGUUGCUCAGAUCCUUACGUGUGCCCAUUUUUCCUGCUUCCAACACAUCAACUUUGAGAACUGACUGUUCACUUGCUGUUAAAUAUAUCCCACCCCUUUGCAGGUGCCAUUGUAAGGAGAUAAUCAAUGUUAUUCAUGUCACCUAUUAGUGGUUUUCAUGUAAUGGCUAAUCGGUGUAUACAGCAUAUGCACCUCCCUGAAACUGUUCAUGGAGUAAAGGAAAACUACUCAUGUAUGUUUAUAAAUGAUAGUUGCUAGCUUUCUCCGCUUUUCACCGAGCACUUUGCCACACACUAAAAAGGGGAAAAAAACAGGCUGAAUUGUAUUUAUGUAUAUUUAUACCUAGACUAACUCUCGCUGUGUAAUAAAGUAUUAGUGAAAUGCUAUUCAUGAACUCUUGCCUAUUUGUGUGAGGAUGUUUUUUUCCAUGGAGACCACAGAGCAACUGUAGAAAUGUGUCCUUAUUGUUAAUCAAAUUACCCUUAUGUCUGGCUAAGUUUAGACUAGAAGUGCUGUAACAUCAGAGACUGCAUUGUACGUCUGUGUGUGUGUGUGUGUGUGUGUGGGAGAGAGAGUUUAUUCUGCAUUCAGAAUCACUAAUUUAUGUCCUGUAAAUAUAUAUCGUAUAUUGGUAUUGAGUAAUUCUGUAUGCCACUGUCGUUGCUUUGUAGUAAAAUGUUAUUGCAAUAAAAUGUUCAUUUAUUUUAUCACAUUUUAUUCUAUGCUUUUAAUUACAUCUUAUUAUAUCCUACUCCAUUCUAUUCUAUACUUUUCUAUUCUAUUCUGUGAUAUUAUAUCCCACUUUAUCAUAUUGAUCCCCAGCCUCCUCUAUUAUAUAAUAUAUAUAUACUUUCUAUUCUAUUUAUUCUAUUCUAUUCUAUUCUACUCUAUUCUAGUGUGUAAUGCUAUGUCCCAUUUUGCCCUGUUUUAUCCUGAUUUUCCAGAUUCUAUUCUAUUUGUUUCUAUUCUACUCUGGGAUAUUAUACCCUAUUUUAUCAUAUUGUUUACCAGUCUGUUCUAUUCUAUUUCUAUUCUAUUCUAUUCUGUUCUAUUGAAUUAUAUUCUAUUCUGUAAUGUUAUGCCACAUUUCGUCCUGUUUGAUCUUGAUUUUCUAUUAUUAAAUCACUUAUUAAAUCAUAUUUUAUUAUUUCCUAUUCUAUUCUAUUUUUCCAUUCUAUUCUAUUCUAGUCAAUCAUAUUAUAUAACAAUCUAUCCUAUUUUUUUUCUAUUCUAUUCUAUUUGAUUUUAUUGCUGCAAACAAAAAGCAUGCCCACCAUAAACAACACAUAAGCAAAUACCCAGUGGCAGCACUAGCACUGGACAGCACCAGCUUUAGAGAAUGAUCAAAUGUGGCAAAAGCCAUCUGAAACUUGUCCCCUCUAUUCAGAACCUCAGCCACAGUGCAACGUUCAGCACUGGCAAAUGUCAACGGCAAGGAGAAGUGAUUCUAUAUUGUUUCUCUCUCUUCAGCUUCUCAUCAGCUUGUCAGGGAGCAGUCUGGUCACUCUAAAUGGAGAAAUUCCCUGCUUACUCAUGCAUACCACUGGCAAAUUGUCCCUCUCAGAUCCUGGCCUUGGCGUGUGAUUUGCGCUAGACAGCGUGACACAGAGAGUCUCUGCCUCAUUGGAAAAGGCCAGUGCAGAAAUAGACAAACUAGUUCAAGAGGUGCAGUUGAAGAAAAUUGUAUCUUUCAGAGCUAGGCAGCACGCCGGAACAGGGAGGAAGACAGCGGGAGAGGAGUGAGACGCCUUUUAGUACUGACCUUGGCAAGGGAGUGGGUGGCCAGCAGCAUUUGGAAAGGUCUCACUGAGGCUGCCGUGCAUGUUAUUGUCAUCAUACUAUGAAUUAGGAGGUGAGAAAGACAGAAAAAAAGACCGGGGAGAAAAAGACCGAGCAAAAUAUCAAACAACCUUCACGGGGGUGGCAAAUAAGUGCUACCUGAUGAGAUGCUUCAUGAAACUCCAGAUAUGUGUGCCAUCCUGGACCUCACAAAACUGGACACCAUAUUCAAAUAAAGUGGAGCUGAAUGGAUACUAAGUAAAAAGAAUGAAUCACGUAUAUCAUAUCAGUCCAUGUGGAAUGUGUGGAGGAGAAACUGCAUGAUAAAGCAGUAAUGGGACACCCACUAACAGCCUCUCAUUUACAUUAGGUGAACGACUGUGUGCAGAACAAUCAUCUUUAAUAUUAAUAAUGGCUUCAUGCGCCCCCUAUGGACCGUGUGAUUUCCGUCCCUGCGUGUCCAGCCAUGCUGCGCCACUGCACAACAGGCACGGAUUAUUAAUGCUUUUUACCAACUUUGCCUUCAAGAUCAUAUGUAAUAACAGAGAACACCCGUUAGCGGAGAAGUAGAUCAAUUAGACAGCACUUUUAAAAGAGGUUAUGCAGCAAUUCAUAAAUGGAGCUAUGAGCUAUGAGGGAAGGGGAGACGAGCAAAAAAAGAAAAAGAAAAUGCUCAGCCAUGUUAUAGUCCAUGAAUAACAAUGAGAAGGUAUCAGCCAGUAUAACAGCAUGGGAUCACGUAGAGACCUGUUGAGAGCUUCAGCUACAAUAGUGCGAAGAUAAACUUCUGGCUUGUUACUGAUGAGAGGAAUGCAAAAUGUAAUAGCAAAAGGACCCACAGGUACAUACAACGGUGUGUCUACACAAACGCACGCACACACACACACAAACACACACACAGCAAAAAAAAAAACAUUUUAGCUUUCUUCUCUUCUCUCCUUCAUGGUCCUUUUGUCUGAAAACAGCCUUCACAAGCUAUUCUUCCAAGGAAAGUGACUUAAACAAUGAAAGCAUGGUAUUACACUUAUUCAAAACAAUUUAUCGUGUACCACCUAGGAAAUCCUCAUCUCUUCUUUUCAAAGUGCACAGCAUUCUAGCCAUAAAUACCAAACAAGGAGAUCUACUAAAUCACAAACCACAUUAAACAUGCUUACUUUGAGAUGAACUCUGGCCUACACUGUCCAAAUUUUUAUUUCUUCUCUGAUCCUUAAUCUCUCAGCCAGCGUCUGGUAUACAAAUUAUCAGCUACUGACAACUCUACUACAUUUUAGAUCACUGCUAAAGCUUUUUUAAAAUGAUAUUUUAUUAACAGAUGCUGUGAAAAGCUUCUUCCUGGCCUGGUGACCACACCAAAGAGACUAACUGAAAAUGUUCCUCUCCAUUAGUGCAGAAACACUACAAUAUUAUUACUAAAGACUUAACUAACAGCCACUGAAACUUUCCAGGACUUUUUCAUAGCCAUCUCCCAAAUAAAAUCCAGUAAGAAGAACUUUACUCUUUGUGAUCAGUGUACCAAAACAGUGUCUUUUAAUAUAGACUCUCGGAAAAAAAGAGUACUACUGUAAACUGUAUCUUUGCUCGUCUCUAGGGUGUUGCUUUAUUCAAAGAAAUUAAUUAUGGUCCAUUUAUGCAUCUUAAAUAAUUUUUAAAUGUACACUAUAAGCAUGAUACAAGGGAACGAUACAAAUUAAAGGUACAUAAGAUGUUCAUUUGAGGCUACCACCCCAGCAAGAAGGGAAGUACGGUUUUGUUCUGAAAGUAUAUGAUUUGUAUAAGCAUAUACAUCUUAACAAUGAAUUCUGAUUAUCACUUAAGCCAAUACAUUACAGAUUUGGUCUGCACAGUAUACUGAUUGUUAAUCAUAUACAUAAACACAAUAUUGUGGCUUUUGCAAUACUGUCUGUCUCAAAAGGCUGAAAUAUGCAAAUGACCACAACAAACCACAUUUUUUGGGAGUACUGUAGGCAUCCUGACCAUUUUAUAACUUCUAGAUAUGCUCUAUGUGAAUGCUUUGAAUAAUACUAGCAUUGACAUAAUCAAAAAAGUUUCUUUUUAGUGUAAUGUUUAGUGUUCACUGCAUUUUUGUAUUAUAUAAUCUGCAUUUAAUGUAUGUACUGACUUUGUGCUGUUGUCACUGUAUUUCCUUCUCCACUUUUCUGUUGCUAUUUCAUCAAGUGCAAGACUGAUUCUGAGGGAACUAUAUUUCAUUUCUAACAUUGCAUAACAGAAAUGACAAAAGCAUUAUUUUAAAGUGGGAUAGAUUGUAGCUGUGACUCAUCACAUGUUCAUGGGUAUGCUUUAAUAUAUUGCAAAGGAUAUCAGCAAGCGUCUACAGAAUAUAACCGCAACCUGCUUUUUCUGUCCAAACUCCCAACCCUACAACAGACAGUCCCUCCAUGAUUUCACGAUUUCAUGAUCGCAGAAAUGAAUGCAAAUUCACGAGAACUCCAAAAUAUUUGGAGGAGCUAGUAAUUUCUUAAAAUUACCAGAGAUGUUCUGCAGAUUUGGGCCAAGAUGCGUCAUGUGACGUCAUCACAACGCGCAUUCAGCCAAAGCCCUCUUUGAUUCACGUGCGUCAAACAUGAGUACAGAUAAAAGGUCUCAUUUACCAACAAACAUCACUGCGAAAGACCGUGCGAAACAAUUUCAUGCAAUUGUAUUAUCACCAAUUUAAGUAGAUUUCCACAAAAAAAGCACAAAAAACUCUGCAAAUUGUAUUGUCCCAGCAAAAUCAAGUAUUUUUGGCCACAACUAUUGCAAAAAAAGCUCAGCAAAAUUCUGUAUGGUAUGAAUAGACUCUAAUAAGACUUAUUAUAUAGGCUGUUUUCUAUUUAGCUCGUUAAUGAAUGUCCCAUUGACACAUCUCUGUUGGUUUUAUAGCAAACAAUCAGGACAAUUUUUUCUGAAAUUUAUUAGCAUUUAGCAAAUAUUUGCACUUAUUUGACAAAUUAAGCCUUACACACAGUGUCUUUCAGUAUCUUUUUACUAUUAUAUAUAUAAAAGUUUAAAUACUUCAUUUUACAAUGAAUCUUACAAUCCAUGUGUCCACUCGCUUGAGUAUCAUGACUGGUGUAUUAUGUCUGAGGACAAGGCAAAAUACAGAUGAACAGUAAGCAUGAUGCCUCUGCCACUGUGCUGCCUGCUUAGUCCACUUAACACACACUGCAG